AUUGAACGCUGGCGGCAUGCUUUACACAGGCAAGUCGAACGGCAGCGCGGGCUUCGGCCUGGCGGCGAGUGGCGAACGGGUGAGUAAUGCAUCGGAACGUGCCCAGUAGUGGGGGAUAGCCCGGCGAAAGCCGGAUUAAUACCGCAUACGACCUGAGGGUGAAAGCGGGGGACCGAAAGGCCUCGCGCUAUUGGAGCGGCCGAUGUCGGAUUAGCUAGUUGGUGGGGUAAAGGCUUACCAAGGCGACGAUCCGUAGCUGGUCUGAGAGGACGACCAGCCACACUGGGACUGAGACACGGCCCAGACUCCUACGGGAGGCAGCAGUGGGGAAUUUUGGACAAUGGGGGCAACCCUGAUCCAGCCAUGCCGCGUGCGGGAAGAAGGCCUUCGGGUUGUAAACCGCUUUUGUUCGGGAAGAAAUCCUCUGGGCUAAUACCCCGGGGGGAUGACGGUACCGGAAGAAUAAGCACCGGCUAACUACGUG
Molecule: ribosomal RNA, 484 nt
Filed under: uncultured bacterium
Lineage: Bacteria
Description: partial 16S ribosomal RNA
Rfam family: Bacterial small subunit ribosomal RNA
Source: RNAcentral